GAUGAACGCUGGCGGCGUGCCUAAUACAUGCGAGUCGAGCGAACGGACGAGAAGCUUGCUUUUCUGAUGUUAGCGGCGGACGGGUGAGUAACACGUGGAUCACCUACCUAUAAGACUGGGAUAACUUCGGGAAACCGGAGCUAAUACCGGAUAAUAUUUUGAACCGCAUGGUUCAAAAGUGAAAGACGGUCUUGCUGUCACUUAUAGAUGGAUCCGCGCUGCAUUAGCUAGUUGGUAAGGUAACGGCUUACCAAGGCAACGAUGCAUAGCCGACCUGAGAGGGUGAUCGGCCACACUGGAACUGAGACACGGUCCAGACUCCUACGGGAGGCAGCAGUAGGGAAUCUUCCGCAAUGGGCGAAAGCCUGACGGAGCAACGCCGCGUGAGUGAUGAAGGUCUUCGGAUCGUAAAACUCUGUUAUUAGGGAAGAACAUAUGUGUAAGUAACUGUGCACAUCUUGACGGUACCUAAUCAGAAAGCAACGGCUAACUACGUG
Molecule: ribosomal RNA, 497 nt
Filed under: uncultured bacterium
Lineage: Bacteria
Description: partial 16S ribosomal RNA
Rfam family: Bacterial small subunit ribosomal RNA
Source: RNAcentral